UACGUAGGGGGCUAGCGUUGUCCGGAAUCAUUGGGCGUAAAGAGCGUGUAGGCGGCCCGGUAAGUCCGCUGUGAAAGUCGGGGGCUCAACCCUCGAAUGCCGGUGGAUACUGUCGGGCUAGAGUGCGGAAGAGGCGAGUGGAAUUCCUGGUGUAGCGGUGAAAUGCGUAGAGCUCCGGAGGAACACCAGUGGCGAAGGCGGCCGCCUGGGCCAGUCCUGACGCUGAGCCGCGAAAGCGUGGGGAGCGAUCCGG
This 253-nucleotide ribosomal RNA is filed under the name uncultured bacterium. RNAcentral's name for it is "partial 16S ribosomal RNA". It matches the Rfam family "Bacterial small subunit ribosomal RNA", at positions 524 to 776 of the family's 1533-position model. The record is from RNAcentral.